GACGAACGCUGGCGGCGUGCUUAACACAUGCAAGUCGAACGGAAAGUCCCUGCUUUUGUUUGGUGCUCGAUUGGCUAACGGUUGAGUAACACUUAAUUAACCUUCCCUUGACUUUGGGAUAACUUCAGGAAACUAGUGCUAACACCGGAUAGUACCUCCUGCUGCAUGUUGGUGCUUGGAAAUUUUCGGCGGUUGGGCAUUGACCCGCUGCUUAUCAGCUUGUUGGUGGGGUAGUUGCUUACCAAGGCUUUGACGGGUAGCCGGCCUGAGAGGGUGACAGGCCACAUUGGGACUGAGAUACGGCCAAGACUCAUACGGGAGGCAGCAGUGGGGGAUAUUGCACAAUGGGCGGAAGCCUGAUGCAGGAACGCCGCGUGCGAGAUGACGGCCUUCGGGUUGUAAACCGCUUUCGCCUGUGACGAAGAGUGAGUGACGGUAAUGGGUGAAGAAGCGACGGCUAACUACGUG
RNAcentral lists this ribosomal RNA (468 nucleotides) under uncultured bacterium. RNAcentral's name for it is "partial 16S ribosomal RNA". It matches the Rfam family "Bacterial small subunit ribosomal RNA", at positions 28 to 507 of the family's 1533-position model. The record is from RNAcentral.